GGGAAAGUAGCUCAGUGGUAGAGUGCUUGCCUUGCAUGCAUGAGGCCCUGGGUUCGAUUCCUCAGCACCA
Non-coding RNA from Dipodomys ordii (Ord's kangaroo rat), 70 nucleotides. The record is from Rfam. Lineage: Eukaryota; Metazoa; Chordata; Mammalia; Rodentia; Heteromyidae.